UGGUGGAGUGAUUUGUCUGGUUAAUUCCGUUAACGAGCGAGAUCAACACCUUUAAAUAGUCACAUCAAAAGUCUAAUAUGCUGUGAAGUUCAUUGGGUCAAGCCUGGCGGCUAACGCUGCCCUUCUCUUUGGAUGGAUCAGUUGAUGUUUUGAUGGGUUUGACUUCUUAGAGGGACUAUCAGUGUUUAACUGAAGGAAGUUGUUGGCAAUAACA
This 214-nucleotide ribosomal RNA is filed under the name uncultured eukaryote. Its description in RNAcentral is "partial 18S ribosomal RNA". It matches the Rfam family "Eukaryotic small subunit ribosomal RNA", at positions 1299 to 1458 of the family's 1831-position model. The record is from RNAcentral.